UGAAUGAGGGGUUGAGUGUUUUGGUUCCAAGUAAAGGGCCAGGUUGUCACGGCUAAGAAGGGAGUCAAGGUGCCCGUAAGCCGCCUGCGUCAACUGUAGGAGGGCGGGGGUGAGGGAAAGGAAGGAACGGGCGCGUUCAGAGCACACAGGAAGGGAGGAGAGUCUGGCGGGCGGAGGGGUGCGGCUAUACAAGCGAGGCCUUCAUUGCGCACGAGGCCUGGAGAAGAAUCCGGGCUCUGUGCGCAGACCGCUCCAAUGUGCUUCAUGCAGCAGCACAAACGCGACGCUGUGGGCCGCCGUGAAAGGAGGCUCUCUGCGCAGGCACACGGACACACGUCGGACCUGCGCCAAGGCUCAAGGCUGCCUGCACUACCUUCAAUGGCCCAUCAGCAAAUUGAGACCUAUCACAGCUUCAUGGCACACCCCAAUUACAGCUGUCUGACAACGCAACUGGUCAUAAAACCUCAAGACCCAACACGCAGAUAAAACACAACUUUCCAGGUUAAAGACGGCAGUCGACAGAUCAAAACAAAACUACGCAGUCUCCCUUGGGAGGAAAAAGACAAAGAGGGAGACGUCCCGGAAGGCAGCAUGCUGACACGGACGACUAGCGCACCUCCCAGUGCUCAUUAACAAACAGCUCCCUGCAGACUAUACAGGACAAGGUGACUCAUUGCUUUCCUUAAAUGACAUUUGUGCACGCCACAUGGAUACUUGAACAUGACAAUUGGCUCCGCCAUGAUGACGCGGAUCUUGUGCUCCGACAUGGUGGCGAAGGCGGCGAAGAGGCUCUUCAGGACGUACUC
Long non-coding RNA from Hippocampus comes (tiger tail seahorse), 806 nucleotides. RefSeq lists it as uncharacterized. The record is from RefSeq and is a predicted model, not a curated record. The transcript is spliced from 3 exons. Lineage: Eukaryota; Metazoa; Chordata; Actinopteri; Syngnathiformes; Syngnathidae.